This 341-nucleotide small RNA is filed under the name Pongo abelii (Sumatran orangutan). RNAcentral's name for it is "processed transcript". The record is from RNAcentral. Lineage: Eukaryota; Metazoa; Chordata; Mammalia; Primates; Hominidae.
CAGGGUUUGUCCAGCAGAGGGGCACUGCAUGUCUCAUCAGGAUGGUUCUGUGCAUUGCUACCGAUGACUCCCACUCCCUGAGCCGCCUGAGCCUAAAGUUUGGAGUGUCACUGAAAUCCUGCAGACACCUGCUUGAAAAUGCGAAGAAGAGCCACGUGGAGGUGGUGGGUGUGAGUUUUCACAUUGGCAGUGGCUGUCCUGACCCUCAGGCCUACGCUCAGUCCAUCGCAGAUGCCCGGCUCGUGUUUGAAAUGGGCACUGAGCUGGGUCACAAGAUGCACAUUCUGGACCUUGGUGGCGGCUUCCCUGGCACAGAAGGGACUAAAGUGAGAUUUGAAGAG